GACCUGAUGGCUGAGCGGUUAGGCAUCCGUCCGGUAAACGGAGGACGCUGGUUCGAUUCCAGCUCGGGGCA
RNAcentral lists this transfer RNA (71 nucleotides) under Leguminivora glycinivorella. RNAcentral describes it as "tRNA-Thr". It matches the Rfam family "tRNA". From Rfam's summary of the family: Transfer RNA (tRNA) molecules are approximately 80 nucleotides in length. Their secondary structure includes four short double-helical elements and three loops (D, anti-codon, and T loops). The record is from RNAcentral. Lineage: Eukaryota; Metazoa; Arthropoda; Insecta; Lepidoptera; Tortricidae.